The submitters of this non-coding RNA (201 nucleotides) gave its source as unclassified sequences. The record is from Rfam.
UAGAGAACUGAUCAUUCUCUAUAGGGUAUGCCAGAAUAACAGAUGUGGUCAUGCACUCUGUAAUGGUGAAGUAAGUCAGGGGUGGUGCCCGCUGUGGAAGCACAGAACUCUAACCAAGAGGACUGAAAAGAAUGAGGAUCACUAUUACUACUAGUGAGACCAUCUUCAUUGAGGGUAUAGUAAAAUCCCUCUACCCACCCA